This 86-nucleotide transfer RNA is filed under the name Bdellovibrio sp. RNAcentral's name for it is "tRNA-Tyr". It matches the Rfam family "tRNA". Rfam says of the family: Transfer RNA (tRNA) molecules are approximately 80 nucleotides in length. Their secondary structure includes four short double-helical elements and three loops (D, anti-codon, and T loops). RNAcentral also lists the same sequence under 1 other name. Lineage: Bacteria; Pseudomonadati; Bdellovibrionota; Bdellovibrionia; Bdellovibrionales; Pseudobdellovibrionaceae. The record is from RNAcentral.
GGAGAGAUGCCCGAGUGGCUAAAGGGGGCAGACUGUAAAUCUGCUGGCUCGCGCCUACGAAGGUUCGAAUCCUUCUCUCUCCACCA